UCUUCCGCAAUGGACGAAAGUCUGAUGGAGCAACGCCGCGUGAGUGAUGAAGGUUUUCGGAUCGUAAAACUCUGUCGUUAGGGAAGAACAAGUACCGCUCGAAUAGGGCGGUACCUCCACGGUACCUAACCAGAAAGCCACGCCUAACUACGUGCCAGCAGCCGCGGUAAUACGUAGGUGGCAAGCGUUGUCCGGAAUUAGUGGGCGUAAAGCGCGCGCAGGCGGUUUCUUAAGUCUGAUGUGAAAGCCCCCGGCUCAACCGGGGAGUGUCAUUGGAAACUGGGGAACUUGAGUGCAGAAGAGGAGAGUGGAAUUCCACGUGUAGCGGUGAAAUGCGUAGAGAUGUGGAGGAACACCAGUGGCGAAGGCGACUCUCUGGUCUGUAACUGACGCUGAGGCGCGAAAGCGUGGGGAGCGAACAG
Molecule: ribosomal RNA, 422 nt
Filed under: uncultured bacterium
Lineage: Bacteria
Description: bacterial SSU rRNA
Rfam family: Bacterial small subunit ribosomal RNA
Source: RNAcentral